RNAcentral lists this ribosomal RNA (116 nucleotides) under Oryza punctata. The record is from RNAcentral. Lineage: Eukaryota; Viridiplantae; Streptophyta; Magnoliopsida; Poales; Poaceae.
GGAAGUUAAGCGUGCUUGGGCGAGAGUAGUACUAGGAUGGGUGACUAGUUAAGCGUGCUUGGGCGAGAGUAGUACUAGGAUGGGUGACCUCCUGGGAUGUCCUCGUGUUGCAUCCU